GAUCAAACCAAAAUUAAGAUUAAAAAAAAUGCCAAAGUCCUCAUUUUGGCGAAGACGAAAUCUUUCCGUCUCUUGCGGUCUCUCUGAGAGCUGAGCCUGAGCUGAAUCAAACCAGCAAAGAAAGCUUUUGAAGUAAGCAAAACUUUUUCUCCUUUCUCAAAUCUCGCACCACUUUCAACUUCUCUAAGUUGAUCUCGUCUAAACUCUCAAGACACACUCUCCCUCUUCUACUGCAGUACUUUUAUUUAGGUCCUGUAGCUGUGAAAGCUUGGAUUCUUAUGUGAAGAGCACAAUGUUCACUGAAGGACUCGAUUCCAACGCCGUUCGAUGGGUUCGAGAGAACCAGAAGGAAGCUACUCUCUCUCGUUCCAGUUUAAGGCCUAGAAUUGGUCCCAUAACUAACAUUAGAGCAGGCAGUCGCGGAUUUGGCUUGCCUCCACCUUCCAAAUUCAGAAGCGGACACCUACCAUCUACUGCAAUUCCGGUGUCCAGAACCAUUCCUGGCGAUAUCGGUGAUAGCCGAUCCGCUUCUGAUAAUGACAUAACCACCGAGUCCGAUGAAGAUGAUGUUUAUGGCGGACGGUAUUCCCUCGAUUCCUCUCCUCGAGACGAAAGAAUCCCCAAUUCCACUGCUAUUGGGCAAAGAUAUGGAAAUGCCGAGCUAAGAGGCGCGCGUUAUGCUACUGAUUAUGUGUACUCCGAUGUUAGUUCGUCAAUGGAGACUGUGGCGGGGAGAGGUGGAAGUGUGGCCGAGAGGGUAGUUAGAGGGAACGGGAGGUAUGAGGUUGGAAGGAAUGGUUACACUGAGGAUGAUUAUGAGUCGUCGGAUUCGGCUGCUAGCUCCGAAUUUUCUACCACGCAAGCUGGGAGUGUUAGUAGUGCUUUGCCUAGGAGUAGGCUGCGUGUUUCUGAGGGAUAUGCUUCGAGCGUGCCUUCUUUGGCUAAUGUUGAACGCAAUGCACGAAAGGAUUUGAAUUCCAGAAACCUUCAGAAUGUGAAAUUUUCUUAUGAUGAUGAUGUUCCCAGUGCACCUCCAUUUUGUGGUUCUGGUCAGGAAAUUAAAGAAAGUGCUGAACUAGCAUCUGGAGUGCAUAAGACCACAGGCAUUACAGAUCCAUGUGGUUUUCCUACCAAUGAUGACAAAAAUGAAAUCAAACCUACUUCUGGAGCUGAACCAAAGGAAAGUUUUGGAAAUGAGAAUCCUGAUCAGUUUGUAAGAACAACUGCUGGUGCAGAAGCUGCUGUGCCUUCUGGUUCAAACCCAGCUCGGCUGCCAACAUUUCACGCCAGUGCAUUAGGGCCAUGGCAUGCUGUGAUUGCUUAUGAUGGAUGUGUGCGGCUUUGUCUUCAUGCUUGGGCAAGGGGAUGCAUGGAAGCUCCAAUGUUCUUAGAAAAUGAAUGUGCUUUGCUGCGGGAGGCAUUUGGUGUGCAGAAUGUGCUUUUGCAAUCAGAGGAGGAACUACUGGCAAAGCGCUCUUCUGAGCUUGUUAAUGAGGGGGCUGCUCCAAAACCUAAGAAAAUCAUUGGAAAGAUGAAGGUGCAAGUGCGUAAAGUGAAAACUGUUCUUGACCCUCCUACUGGCUGUAGUAUGUCAUCUCUGACUCUUAGAGUUCCAAAUCUAAAACUCGAAUCUGUCCGAUAUCGUUUCUCUAAGUUGCGGUCGACACUUUCUACUGCUUGGCAAGCUUUUCGAAAAAUUCAUGUUGCACCUCGCAUGCCUGCAAACGGCUCCUUUUCCCGUCAAAGCUUGGCAUAUGUGCAUGCUAGCACUCGGUAUAUAAAACAAGUGUCUGGACUUCUGAAAAUUGGUGUGACAAGUCUACGUAACAGUUCCUCAUCAUAUGAAGUUGUGCAAGAAACAUACUCAUGCUUGUUAAGACUGAAAAGUUCAGCAGAAGAAGAUGCCAUCCGGAUGCAGCCUGGAUCUGGUGAAACCCAUGUGUUCUUUCCAGAUAGUCUAGGGGAUGAUCUAAUUGUUGAAGUCCAAGAUUCCAAGGGGAAAUAUUAUGGCCGUGUCCUUGCUCAAGUUGCAACUAUUGCUGAUGACCCUGUUGAUAAGCUACGAUGGUGGUCAAUAUAUCGAGAGCCAGAGCAUGAGCUUGUGGGCAAACUACAGCUCUACAUUAAUUACUCUACAAGUUCAGAUGACAGUAAUCUCAAGAAACAUACUAUCUGGUUUAGAAUUUUGCUUCAUAUUAUGGGGUUUCGGAUAUGUAUACCAAGCUGAGCUACGCCCACAGCUGACUGUCUGACAUUGGUAUAUGAUUUAUUAAUGCCUGUGAUUAUGAAGGGCCAUAGCAACAGCACUUUGAGUCAUCAAGAGAAUCGACUAUUGGGAGAAAUCAAGGAUCAGAUUGAACAGAUUCUUUCUCUAGCAUUUGAGAACUACAAGUCUCUUGAUGAAUCAUCAUUAUCGGGUAUUAUGGAUGUUUUCAAGCCAGCAACCGGCCUUGCAGCACCUGCACUGGAACCUGCUGUGAAGCUAUAUACUCUUCUUCAUGACAUAUUGUCUCCUGAAGCACAAACAAAUUUAACCCAUUAUUUCCGGGUAUAAGAUGUUGAAAUUCUCACUAUAUUUUAUAUAACCUUGCUUUGAGUUUUCCAUUUCUUUGUAUCACUCAUGUAAAGCGUCUCCUCUAGGGCUGAGCAGAAUUCGGUUC
Molecule: unclassified non-coding RNA, 2660 nt
Filed under: Hevea brasiliensis (rubber tree)
Lineage: Eukaryota; Viridiplantae; Streptophyta; Magnoliopsida; Malpighiales; Euphorbiaceae
Source: RNAcentral